RNAcentral lists this ribosomal RNA (301 nucleotides) under uncultured bacterium. Its description in RNAcentral is "partial 16S ribosomal RNA". It matches the Rfam family "Bacterial small subunit ribosomal RNA", at positions 509 to 807 of the family's 1533-position model. The record is from RNAcentral.
CAGUAGCCACGGGAAUACGUAGGUGGCAAGCGUUGUCCGGAAUUAUUGGGCGUAAAGGGCUCGCAGGCGGUUUCUUAAGUCUGAUGUGGAAGCCCCCGGCUCAACCGGGGAGGGCCAUUGGAAACUGGGAAACUUGAGUGCAGAAGAGGAGAGUGGAAUUCCACGUGUAGCGGUGAAAUGCAUAGAGAUGUGGAGGAACACCAGUGGCGAAGGCGACUCUCUGGUCUGUAACUGACGCUGAGGAGCGAAAGCGUGGGGAGCGAACAGGAUUAGAUACCCCAGUAGUCCCUGUCUCUUAUAC